AGUGAACGCUGGCGGUAGGCCUAACACAUGCAAGUCGAACGGCAGCACAGUAGAGCUUGCUCUUCCGGGUGGCGAGUGGCGGACGGGUGAGGGAUACAUCGGAAUCUACUUUUUCGUGGGGGAUAACGUAGGGAAACUUACGCUAAUACCGCAUACGACCUACGGGUGAAAGCAGGGGAUCUUCGGACCUUGCGCGAUUGAAUGAGCCGAUGUCGGAUUAGCUAGUUGGCGGGGUAAAGGCCCACCAAGGCGACGAUCCGUAGCUGGUCUGAGAGGAUGAUCAGCCACACUGGAACUGAGACACGGUCCAGACUCCUACGGGAGGCAGCAGUGGGGAAUAUUGGACAAUGGGCGCAAGCCUGAUCCAGCCAUACCGCGUGGGUGAAGAAGGCCUUCGGGUUGUAAAGCCCUUUUGUUGGGAAAGAAAAGCAGCGGGUUAAUACCCCGCUGUUCUGACGGUACCCAAAGAAUAAGCACCGGCUAACUUCGU
This 490-nucleotide ribosomal RNA is filed under the name uncultured bacterium. RNAcentral's name for it is "partial 16S ribosomal RNA". It matches the Rfam family "Bacterial small subunit ribosomal RNA", at positions 29 to 506 of the family's 1533-position model. The record is from RNAcentral.